This 447-nucleotide ribosomal RNA is filed under the name uncultured bacterium. RNAcentral describes it as "bacterial SSU rRNA". It matches the Rfam family "Bacterial small subunit ribosomal RNA", at positions 331 to 795 of the family's 1533-position model. The record is from RNAcentral.
CCAGACUCCUACGGGAGGCAGCAGUGGGGAAUAUUGCACAAUGGGGGAAACCCUGAUGCAGCGACGCCGCGUGAGUGAAGAAGUAAUUCGUUAUGUAAAGCUCUAUCAGCAGGGAAGAAACAGACGGUACCUGAGUAAGAAGCCCCGGCUAACUACGUGCCAGCAGCCGCGGUAAUACGUAGGGGGCAAGCGUUAUCCGGAUUUACUGGGUGUAAAGGGAGCGUAGACGGCGAAGAAAGUCUGAAGUGAAAGCCCGCGGCUUAACCGCGGAACUGCUUUGGAAACUGUGCUGCUGGAGUGCAGGAGAGGCAAGUGGAAUUCCUAGUGUAGCGGUGAAAUGCGUAGAUAUUAGGAGGAGCACCGGUGGCGAAGGCGGCCUGCUGGACUGCGACUGACGUUGAGGCCCGAAAGCGUGGGGAGCAAACAGGAUUAGAUACCCCGGUACCC